AUGCAGUUAGAAAUUUACUUAAAACAAGUCUAUCGCAAGACAUCUGGUGGUGGUGGUGGUGGUAGUGUGAUGAUCUGGGGCUAUUUUGCUGCUUCAGGACCUGGAAGACUUGCUAUGAUAAAUGGAACCAUGAAUUCUGCUGUUUACCAAAAAAAUCCUGAAGGAGAAUGUCUGGCCAUCUGUUCGUGACCUCAAGCUGAAGCGAACUUGGGUUCUGCAGCAGGACAAUGAUCCAAACACACCAGCAACUCCACCUCUGAAUAGCUGAAGAAAAACAAAAUGAAGACUUUGGAGUGGCCUAGUCAAAGUCCUGACCUGAAUCCUAUUGAGAUGGUGUGGCGUGACCUUAAAAAAGGGGGUUUAUGCUCGAAAACCCUCCAAUGUGGCUGAAUUACAACAAUUCUGCAUAGAUGAGUGGACCAAAAUUCCUCCACAGCGCUGUAACAGACUCAUUUCAAGUUAUCGCAAACACUUGAUUGCAGUUGUUGCUGCUAAUGGUGGCCCAACCAGUUAUUAGGUUUAGGGGCAAACAGUUUUUCACACAGGGCCAUGUAGUUUUGGAUUUUGUUUUCCCUUCCAGUUUCAAGUUUGUUUUAUUUAUAUAGCACAUUUAAAAAAAAAAAAGAAAAAAGCACAGCUGACCAAAGUGUUGCAGAAACAAAAAACUAGAACACAUGAAAACCCACAGAUUCAUACCAUAAACUCACAAUACAUUAAAAGCCAAAGAAAAAAAAAUAGGUAUUAAGAGACGAUUUAAAAACAUUUAAAGACUGUGCUGAUCUGAUAUAGGCUGAAAGGCUGUUCCACAGCUUAGGGCCAGCAACCCCAAAGGCUCUAUCCCCUCUAUGCUUUAACCAUGAUCUGGGGACAAAGAGAAGUCUUUGAUCACCAGACCUCAGAUUUCAUGUAGGAUUGCAUAGACAUAGAGAAGAAUGUUGAACUCAAUUCUAAGAUGCACAGGUAACCAAUGCAACGAUUUCAAAAUUGGAGUAACGUGAUCAAAUUUACGUUAUCCUUUGAAGAAUUUAGCAACGGUGUUUUGUACUAAAUGGAGACGAGCGAUGGAAGACUUAGAAAUGCCAAGAUAAAGAG
Molecule: long non-coding RNA, 1092 nt
Organism: Cyprinus carpio carpio
Lineage: Eukaryota; Metazoa; Chordata; Actinopteri; Cypriniformes; Cyprinidae
Source: Ensembl